AGGAAAAAGUUAGGCAAGACUUUGGCAAAACUUGGAUUCAGGCUUUGCCGAAGUUUAGCCAAAGUUUAAUCUAACUCUUGCCA
MicroRNA precursor from Caenorhabditis elegans, 83 nucleotides. It matches the Rfam family "mir-266 microRNA precursor family". NCBI's taxonomy places the organism in Eukaryota, Metazoa, Nematoda, Chromadorea, Rhabditida, Rhabditidae. The record is from Rfam.